RNAcentral lists this ribosomal RNA (618 nucleotides) under Pseudomonas monteilii. RNAcentral describes it as "bacterial SSU rRNA". It matches the Rfam family "Bacterial small subunit ribosomal RNA", at positions 68 to 682 of the family's 1533-position model. Lineage: Bacteria; Pseudomonadati; Pseudomonadota; Gammaproteobacteria; Pseudomonadales; Pseudomonadaceae. The record is from RNAcentral.
GGAUGACGGGAGCUUGCUCCUUGAUUCGCGGCGGACGGGUGAGUAAUGCCUAGGAAUCUGCCUGGUAGUGGGGGACAACGUUUCGAAAGGAACGCUAAUACCGCAUACGUCCUACGGGAGAAAGCAGGGGACCUUCGGGCCUUGCGCUAUCAGAUGAGCCUAGGUCGGAUUAGCUAGUUGGUGAGGUAAUGGCUCACCAAGGCGACGAUCCGUAACUGGUCUGAGAGGAUGAUCAGUCACACUGGAACUGAGACACGGUCCAGACUCCUACGGGAGGCAGCAGUGGGGAAUAUUGGACAAUGGGCGAAAGCCUGAUCCAGCCAUGCCGCGUGUGUGAAGAAGGUCUUCGGAUUGUAAAGCACUUUAAGUUGGGAGGAAGGGCAGUAAGUUAAUACCUUGCUGUUUUGACGUUACCGACAGAAUAAGCACCGGCUAACUCUGUGCCAGCAGCCGCGGUAAUACAGAGGGUGCAAGCGUUAAUCGGAAUUACUGGGCGUAAAGCGCGCGUAGGUGGUUCGUUAAGUUGGAUGUGAAAGCCCCGGGCUCAACCUGGGAACUGCAUCCAAAACUGGCGAGCUAGAGUACGGUAGAGGGUGGUGGAAUUUCCUGUGUAGCGGU